RNAcentral lists this ribosomal RNA (460 nucleotides) under uncultured bacterium. RNAcentral's name for it is "partial 16S ribosomal RNA". It matches the Rfam family "Bacterial small subunit ribosomal RNA", at positions 338 to 795 of the family's 1533-position model. The record is from RNAcentral.
CCUACGGGUGGCAGCAGUGAGGAAUAUUGGACAAUGGACGGAAGUCUGAACCAGCCAUGCCGCGUGCAGGAAGACGGCUCUAUGAGUUGUAAACUGCUUUUGUACAAGGGUAAAUCUCAAUACGUGUAUUCAGCUGCAAGUACUGUACGAAUAAGGAUCGGCUAACUCCGGGCCAGCAGCCGCGGUAAUACGGAGGAUCCAAGCGUUAUCCGGAUUUAUUGGGUUUAAAGGGUGCGUAGGCGGAUUCAUAAGUUAGAGGUGAAAUGUCCGAGCUUAACUCUGGAACUGCCUCGAAUACUGUUGAUCUAGAGAGUAGGUGCGGUAGGCGGAAUGUAUGGUGUAGCGGUGAAAUGCUUAGAUAUCAUACAGAACACCGAUUGCGAAGGCAGCUUACCAGACUAUAUCUGACGUUGAGGCACGAAAGCGUGGGGAGCAAACAGGAUUAGAUACCCCUGUAGUC